Molecule: ribosomal RNA, 324 nt
Filed under: Trimeresurus popeiorum (Pope's bamboo pit viper)
Lineage: Eukaryota; Metazoa; Chordata; Lepidosauria; Squamata; Viperidae
Description: partial 12S small subunit ribosomal RNA
Source: RNAcentral
ACUACAAAUUGUUCGCCAAACAACUACGAGUAAUACUUAAAACUUAAAAGACUUGACGGUACUUCAUCCCGACCUAGAGGAGCCUGUCCAAUAACCGACAAUCCACGAUUAACCCAACCCCUUCUUGCCCCACAGUCUAUAUACCGCCGUCGUCAGCUUACCUUGUAAAAGAAAUAAAGUGAGCUAAACAGUACCACACUAAAACGACAGGUCGAGGUGUAACUCAUGAAGAGGACCAAGAUGGGCUACAUUCUCCAACCGAGAACACGAACAACACUAUGAAAUUAAUGUUUAAAGGCGGAUUUAGCAGUAAGAUAANAAUAA